This 1170-nucleotide long non-coding RNA is filed under the name Anser brachyrhynchus (Pink-footed goose). RNAcentral's name for it is "lncRNA (ENSABRG00000009668.1)". Lineage: Eukaryota; Metazoa; Chordata; Aves; Anseriformes; Anatidae. The record is from RNAcentral.
CUUCCCCUCCCUCUAUUUGCAUAGCCAAUAGCUCUGGGGCUCUCGCUGCUGCGCGCUGAUUGUUACCGGGCAGAUUAUAUUUUAAGGACGCCUGCUGCCCGGCAUCCAGAGCGGCCCCGGGGGUACGGGGGCGAAGAGCAGCCCCCUCACCUGGCCUCCUCGGGCGAGGGGGGGCAGCGCUGCCCCCUCCCAGCCCGGCCGUCGCCCCUCUGCAGAGCAACGGGAGGGAUGGGACCGUCUCUGCCUCUCCCCCCCCCUCCCCGCCGGGUGCAUCUCCCCGCCCGUCGGGGCAAACGUGGCUUUUUGGCUACCAAAAAGCUGCCGGGACUCCCUGCCCCGCGUCCCCUGGCCGGGUGACGCCGCCUGGAGCCGGCUCUCCAAGGCGCUGGUACCGGCGUUGCCCUGCAAGAAGGGCCGCACGCCCCUCGCCCCGUCCCAUCCCGUCCUUGCAGCGCUGCGUGUGGCCCCUCGCCCCCUCCGCCCCUUCGAGGCGAGGGCCCGUCGGGGCCGGGCCAGGCUCAGUGGGGACGGGGGCGCCUUUUGGGAAGGCGGGGGGGGGGCUGCCUGGGGGGUACCCCCCGCCGUACGUCGGUCAGGGACCCUCAGCAGCGCGGCGUGCCCCGCAAUGAAAGGCUCUUUAACUUCCACCAUUCAUUUCCCCUUCCUGGCUGCUCCUGCGAACAGGGAGCGUGUUGUGGCAGCGCACGUUUUUCCUUCUCCAAACUUUAAAUUCAACCAUCUUGAAGAUGCUUCCAGGGACAGCAUCGGAACAAGCUUUGCAUCUGAAGCGCAGACCAAUAGCAAUGGUGUGUGUGCGCCAGUGGAAAAGUUGGUUUUUGAAGGAGAAAUGUGAAAGAGCAAGAACCGUUCUGAUGAGUUACAGGUAUGGACAGUUGAUAUUUCUUUUAUCAUUAGCAGUAGUACGAAGGGGAUUCAUGGCAACAGAAUCUUUUUUUUUUCUUUGCUCUGCUUUUGAAUUAUUUUGCACUAUUCUACUUGAAAUUUACUUUGCUGUUAUUAACUUCUUGCAUUCCAUUAUGUGAUUUCCCUGCCCUCUGGGUUGUUCUUAGUUCAAAGAUGAUUUCAACAUUAAAUGCUCAAUCUUAUUUUCUUCCCAGACUAUAAUGAGAGAUUAAUAAAAGACUCAGUCCCCAAACCUUCUUCUGAUCU